This 345-nucleotide unclassified non-coding RNA is filed under the name soil metagenome. RNAcentral describes it as "partial contains 5.8S ribosomal RNA, internal transcribed spacer 2, and large subunit ribosomal RNA". The stretch from base 1 to 120 matches the Rfam family "5.8S ribosomal RNA", at positions 35 to 154 of the family's 154-position model. The record is from RNAcentral.
GAUGAAGAACGUAGCGAAAUGCGAUACGUAAUGUGAAUUGCAGAAUUCAGUGAAUCAUCGAGUCUUUGAACGCACAUUGCGCCCCCUGGUAUUCCGGGGGGCAUGCCUGUCCGAGCGUCAUUGCUGCCCUCAAGCACGGCUUGUUUGUUGGGCCUCCGUCCUCCUCCCGGGGGACGGGCCCGAAAGGCAGCGGCGGCACCGCGUCCGGUCCUCGAGCGUAUGGGGCUUCGUCACCCGCUCUUGUAGGCCCGGCCGGCGCUUGCCGACACAUCAAUCUUUUUUCCAGGUUGACCUCGGAUCAGGUAGGGAUACCCGCUGAACUUAAGCAUAUCAAUAAGCGGAGGA